This 2645-nucleotide long non-coding RNA is filed under the name Homo sapiens (human). RNAcentral's name for it is "HSALNT0372411". The record is from RNAcentral. Lineage: Eukaryota; Metazoa; Chordata; Mammalia; Primates; Hominidae.
AUAGCUUCCAGCCUCAUGUCAGGAGUCCCCUGCUCAACAGCGUGCUCCUGGUGAUACUGCCACCCGUAACGGGUACUGGCUUUGCUAACAUCCUGACGAGACGUCGGGGAGAGACGGGAAGUGGCAGGUUGGGCAAGAUAGAGGAGGAAAGGACUCUACCUCAUGGCUUGUCCAGAAGAGGGCAGGGCCACCCCUGCAGCCAGGCCUCCCGGGCCCUGGAGGUAGGAGGGGGACGAUGGCCUCUAAGAGCACUCUGAGACCAGGAGCCUGUUCUCUCGGGCCUGAAGGCUUCGCUUCCACUGUUCUACGCUGCCGCCCUGGCCUGGCCACCUCCCCUCCACUGUGUGGCUGGCUUUUCUCUGCCUUCUGCUGCCUGAUGGGAUCUCCCACUCACCUCCACGAGGAUCUGAGAGGAAAGGGUGCUGAGGAGAGGAGCGUGGAGUGGGCAGGCUCUUGAUGCCAAGCCAAGAAUCUGCAUGGCUCAUUUGAAACUUCGCAGUGCCCUUUAUCUCUUGUUCUCUUUUAUGUAUAAGCUCGUCUUUCUCCCAUACAGUUGUAAACCCCAAAGGGUAGGGACUGUAUUCGGUUCCUUAUUUAUAUCCUGUAAGACAGUGACUCUCAAACUCAUCAGAAUCACCUGGGGAGUUUUAAAAACUUGAUUCCUCCAGAAACCAUAAAGACCAAAGAUUUAAAAAUAUCACCAUAUUAAAACAGAAUGAAGCAAAAUCCUUCUGUAAAGCUAAACAAACAAACAAACUCAUGAAUCAGUCAGAAGAAAUUAUAAACAAGGGGAAAACAGUAUUUGGAAUAUAGAUGGAAGACACACUAAUUUCUUUAAUUUGCAACAAAUGUCUAUAAAUAAGAAAUAUACAAACAACUCAAUAAAUGCUGGGCCAGGAAUCUGAACUGGCAGAACAUGGAAAAGAAAUACCAGUGACCAAGAAACAUAUGAAGAGCUGCUCAUCCUUCCUCAGAAAUAAAGAGACGCAAAUCAGAACAAUGCCAGACCACUUUUCAUGAAUCUGAUUAGCAAAAAUUAUAAAGUUUCAUGAUGCCCAUUGCUGAUGAGAGUAUGGAAGCAGAUGCCAGUGAAUGCAAACUUGGUGGAUUUUGGCACCUGUGUGACAAGGUGGGGCGGUGGUUCUCACACCUGCAUGAGCUUCUGAAUCACAUGAUGAACUUUUAAAAACAUAGAUUCUCUGCGCCCCCAUCCCAUACUGCCAUAAGGCACCCGCGUGUAACUAAGGGCACAAUUUGUGAAGUUCGAAAUGGUAAUAGAGACCAGACUAGUAAAUUUCAACUAAAGGAAUUUUGUCAACAUACAUCAACAUUUUUAAAACAUGAGUAACCUUUGACCCAGCAAUUCUACUGAUGGGAGCUGAUUCUGAAAUUUCCCACAGAAGAGUAUCAACGUCGGCAAGAAUGGAUGCCCACAGCAGCAUUAUUUGUAUAGCAAACAACCUCAAUGUCCAUCAAUAGGAACCUGGAUAAAUAAACUGUGGCACACUCUUAGAUCUUUUAAAGAGAUUUAGUAGGAACUCCAUUUGCUGAUAUAGAGCAGUCUCUGAGUUAUGUUGUGCAAUGAAAAAAUCAAGCAGCAGAGCAGUAUAAAUGGUGUAAUCCAUUUUCCACAUAACUUUUAAAAUGACACACCAUAUACUUUGGUAAAUGCACAAAUUCUUUUUCAAUGGAAAAUCUACAAGAAGCUGAUAACAGUGGCAACUUUGAGGGAAGGAUGAGAAGAGAGGUUCUUACCUUUCAUUCAGUACUGCUUGAUUUUCCUACUUCCUACUUUGUGCAUUGAUUAGUUUUAGUGGAGAACUUCAGUAAGUGUCAUCUGAAAGGUGGAGUUAUGGGACAAUUUUGGUUUCUCCUUUAGAGUUUUCUGUAAAGGAUAUUCAAUAAUUGAAGAUUCUCAGGCCAUAUACCAGAUACACCAAGUUUGGGUGGAGAUGCUGGCAUGGGACUCUAGAAAUCAGCUUGUCGUGUGAUUCUGCUCAUCAGUCAGGUUUGAGACUCACUGCAGAAGAUUCUGGAAGAAAAAUGCUCUCUUCUCUAGCUCAGGGGUUAUGAGGAUGAGAGGGUGGGGUGGCUGCAGCCCUUUUGUUUCCAUGAAAGGAGAACCUGAAUGACCUUGUGCAACCUAAGGUCAAAGAAAUGCAUGGCUGGCAAGUAAACCACAGAGAGGAACUUGUCCGCUGGUACAUCAGUAGGCCACAGAAUCAUGCCUUUCCCGAAGAAGGACGUCCUGUGUCUAGACUUUUCAGUUAUGAAGCCAAUACGUCCUCUUUGUUGUUUAAUGCAGCUUGAGUUAGGUCUUUUGUCACAUGCAAUAUUAAGAAUCCUAACUGAUAGACCUCCACUGAGACAAGCUGAGUAUGUCUUUAUCUCUUGCAGACUGAAAUUGCCUAAUUUAUAAAGUAUUUCAUGAUGUUUGCAAGAUAAACCCUUGUCUGCUGCCUUGGGCUACAUCUGAUGAUUGCCUGCAAUAUUUCUGCCUCUAGAAAUGAACUGUCAAACCAAGAAGUAUGUCCUUGGAAUGCAUCCUCCACUUUAGCAAAAGAAUUAUGUGUUUUGUUUGCUCUUCAUCAUGUAACUCUUGAAUAAAUUUGGAUGCAACAGAUUAAGGGCAUAACCAGGAAAUA